Molecule: ribosomal RNA, 609 nt
Filed under: Salmonella enterica subsp. enterica
Lineage: Bacteria; Pseudomonadati; Pseudomonadota; Gammaproteobacteria; Enterobacterales; Enterobacteriaceae
Description: partial 23S ribosomal RNA
Rfam family: Bacterial large subunit ribosomal RNA
Source: RNAcentral
AGCACCUUCGGGUGUGACUGCGUACCUUUUGUAUAAUGGGUCAGCGACUUAUAUUCUGUAGCAAGGUUAACCGUAUAGGGGAGCCGAAGGGAAACCGAGUCUUAACCGGGCGUUAAGUUGCAGGGUAUAGACCCGAAACCCGGUGAUCUAGCCAUGGGCAGGUUGAAGGUUGGGUAACACUAACUGGAGGACCGAACCGACUAAUGUUGAAAAAUUAGCGGAUGACCUGUGGCUGGGGGUGAAAGGCCAAUCAAACCGGGAGAUAGCUGGUUCUCCCCGAAAGCUAUUUAGGUAGCGCCUCGUGAAUUCAUCUCCGGGGGUAGAGCACUGUUUCGGCUAGGGGGCCAUCCCGGCUUACCAACCCGAUGCAAACUGCGAAUACCGGAGAAUGUUAUCACGGGAGACACACGGCGGGUGCUAACGUCCGUCGUGAAGAGGGAAACAACCCAGACCGCCAGCUAAGGUCCCAAAGUCAUGGUUAAGUGGGAAACGAUGUGGGAAGGCCCAGACAGCCAGGAUGUUGGCUUAGAAGCAGCCAUCAUUUAAAGAAAGCGUAAUAGCUCACUGGUCGAGUCGGCCUGCGCGGAAGAUGUAACGGGGCUAAACCAU